RNAcentral lists this ribosomal RNA (2304 nucleotides) under Klebsiella pneumoniae CHS 21. RNAcentral's name for it is "bacterial LSU rRNA". It matches the Rfam family "Bacterial large subunit ribosomal RNA", at positions 1 to 2334 of the family's 2925-position model. The record is from RNAcentral. Lineage: Bacteria; Pseudomonadati; Pseudomonadota; Gammaproteobacteria; Enterobacterales; Enterobacteriaceae.
UUAAGCGACUAAGCGUACACGGUGGAUGCCCUGGCAGUCAGAGGCGAUGAAGGACGUGCUAAUCUGCGAAAAGCGUCGGUAAGGUGAUAUGAACCGUUAUAACCGGCGAUGUCCGAAUGGGGAAACCCAGUGCAAUUCGUUGCACUAUCGUUAACUGAAUACAUAGGUUAACGAGGCGAACCGGGGGAACUGAAACAUCUAAGUACCCCGAGGAAAAGAAAUCAACCGAGAUUCCCCCAGUAGCGGCGAGCGAACGGGGAGCAGCCCAGAGUCUGAAUCAGCUUGUGUGUUAGUGGAACGGUCUGGAAAGUCCGACGGUACAGGGUGAUAGUCCCGUACACCAAAAUGCACAGGCUGUGAACUCGAAGAGUAGGGCGGGACACGUGGUAUCCUGUCUGAAUAUGGGGGGACCAUCCUCCAAGGCUAAAUACUCCUGACUGACCGAUAGUGAACCAGUACCGUGAGGGAAAGGCGAAAAGAACCCCGGCGAGGGGAGUGAAAAAGAACCUGAAACCGUGUACGUACAAGCAGUGGGAGCACCUUCGGGUGUGACUGCGUACCUUUUGUAUAAUGGGUCAGCGACUUAUAUUCUGUAGCAAGGUUAACCGUAUAGGGGAGCCGCAGGGAAACCGAGUCUUAACUGGGCGUUAAGUUGCAGGGUAUAGACCCGAAACCCGGUGAUCUAGCCAUGGGCAGGUUGAAGGUUGGGUAACACUAACUGGAGGACCGAACCGACUAAUGUUGAAAAAUUAGCGGAUGACUUGUGGCUGGGGGUGAAAGGCCAAUCAAACCGGGAGAUAGCUGGUUCUCCCCGAAAGCUAUUUAGGUAGCGCCUCGUGAACUCAUCUUCGGGGGUAGAGCACUGUUUCGGCUAGGGGGUCAUCCCGACUUACCAACCCGAUGCAAACUACGAAUACCGAAGAAUGUUAUCACGGGAGACACACGGCGGGUGCUAACGUCCGUCGUGAAGAGGGAAACAACCCAGACCGCCAGCUAAGGUCCCAAAGUCAUGGUUAAGUGGGAAACGAUGUGGGAAGGCACAGACAGCCAGGAUGUUGGCUUAGAAGCAGCCAUCAUUUAAAGAAAGCGUAAUAGCUCACUGGUCGAGUCGGCCUGCGCGGAAGAUGUAACGGGGCUAAACCAUGCACCGAAGCUGCGGCAGCGACACUAUGUGUUGUUGGGUAGGGGAGCGUUCUGUAAGCCUGCGAAGGUGUGCUGUGAGGCAUGCUGGAGGUAUCAGAAGUGCGAAUGCUGACAUAAGUAACGAUAAAGCGGGUGAAAAGCCCGCUCGCCGGAAGACCAAGGGUUCCUGUCCAACGUUAAUCGGGGCAGGGUGAGUCGACCCCUAAGGCGAGGCCGAAAGGCGUAGUCGAUGGGAAACAGGUUAAUAUUCCUGUACUUGGUGUUACUGCGAAGGGGGGACGGAGAAGGCUAUGUUAGCCGGGCGACGGUUGUCCCGGUUUAAGCAUGUAGGCUGGUUGUCCAGGCAAAUCCGGAUAAUCAAGGCUGAGGUGUGAUGACGAGGCACUACGGUGCUGAAGUAACAAAUGCCCUGCUUCCAGGAAAAGCCUCUAAGCAUCAGGUAACAUCAAAUCGUACCCCAAACCGACACAGGUGGUCAGGUAGAGAAUACCAAGGCGCUUGAGAGAACUCGGGUGAAGGAACUAGGCAAAAUGGUGCCGUAACUUCGGGAGAAGGCACGCUGGUGUGUAGGUGAAGCCCCUGCGGGUGGAGCUGAGACCAGUCGAAGAUACCAGCUGGCUGCAACUGUUUAUUAAAAACACAGCACUGUGCAAACACGAAAGUGGACGUAUACGGUGUGACGCCUGCCCGGUGCCGGAAGGUUAAUUGAUGGGGUUAUCCGUAAGGAGAAGCUCUUGAUCGAAGCCCCGGUAAACGGCGGCCGUAACUAUAACGGUCCUAAGGUAGCGAAAUUCCUUGUCGGGUAAGUUCCGACCUGCACGAAUGGCGUAAUGAUGGCCAGGCUGUCUCCACCCGAGACUCAGUGAAAUUGAACUCGCUGUGAAGAUGCAGUGUACCCGCGGCAAGACGGAAAGACCCCGUGAACCUUUACUAUAGCUUGACACUGAACAUUGAGCCUUGAUGUGUAGGAUAGGUGGGAGGCUUUGAAGCGUGGACGCCAGUCUGCGUGGAGCCAACCUUGAAAUACCACCCUUUAAUGUUUGAUGUUCUAACGUUGGCCCCUGACCGGGGUUGCGGACAGUGUCUGGUGGGUAGUUUGACUGGGGCGGUCUCCUCCCAAAGCGUAACGGAGGAGCACGAAGGUUAGCUAAUCCUGGUCGG